This 22935-nucleotide long non-coding RNA is filed under the name Citrus maxima (pomelo). RNAcentral's name for it is "long non-coding RNA (CMAX_LNC003282)". Lineage: Eukaryota; Viridiplantae; Streptophyta; Magnoliopsida; Sapindales; Rutaceae. The record is from RNAcentral.
AGGCAGCGCGAUGAGGAAUCAGCACCCUUCUCUAUCCAAACCCGAUGACGACCCGGACCCGAUUCGGCCACCCACGGCCAAUUUAACCCUCUCCGCCGGCGUCGGCCUCCGAAAGAAAGCAGCCGGGGUGCGCCCGUGGCUCCUUCUCGACUCAACCGGCCAGGCCCAGGUGGUGGAGGCCGGCAAGCACGCCAUCAUGCGGCGAACGGGUCUCCCGGCCCGAGACCUUCGGAUCCUGGAUCCGCUUCUCUCGUACCCGUCAACCGUAUUGGGUCGAGAACGGGCCAUAGUCAUCAACUUGGAGCACAUCAAAGCCAUUAUCACCGCCCAGGAAGUGUUGUUGAUGAAUUCAAGAGACCCUUCUGUUGUUCCCUUUGUUGAGGAAUUGCAAAGUAGGAUUUUGUGUCACUAUCAAGCCACUAAAGCUCAGGUUUUUUUUUUUCCUUUUUUUUUUUCAAGUACCCAGUUCAUUUUUGUUACUGAGGAUAAAUGGUCGUGUUGGAUUAUUUGUGAUGAUAAUAAUUAGUAAUUGAGGUCGUAAAUUUGGAAUUUAUUAUAUGAGGAGGCAUUAGAAUUGUUUGUUGGAGGUGAUAUUAAUUUCUUAUAUAGAAGUUGAUACAGCUUUGCCCGAGAUUAAUGACAAAUCAGCACUUGAAACAGGUUAAGAAACCCAACUGGUCGAGGAGCCUAUAAAAGGUUCAGCUCGUAUGCGCAGGGCACCAACAUACCUCAAGGAUUACAUUACCUAAGGAAUAUUCAAGAAGGAACAAAAAAAGUGAGAAAGAUGACAGUUGUGAUUUUAGUUAUUUUGUUGUGACUAUUUAUUUUGCCUAUCAUUACAUAGUUGUUUAGUUACGCUUGUAUUGUUGUGGGGUAAAAGAUAUUUAUAGAGGGCAACACGUCAAAGGUGGAUAUAAGAAAAUGGCAAAUAUUUCUUCUUCUCUCUCUCCGUCUCUCCUGCUAUCUCUGUUUCUCCAUUAAUUUCAAUUCUUUUUGCUGGAGUCAACACUUACUCUAAAAGUGUAAAUCUAUGAUAUAAACUCUGAGUUGCAGAGUUGUAUCAAUUGGUGCUUUCAUUGCCUUCUUCUUCUCACAGAAAAAAAAAAGAACAAAAGCCACCAUAACUGAGCAAACAAAGAGGAUUAAUUCUGAGGUUCUUUCCGCCAUAAAGGAGCUCUUUGAGAAGCAAACGCUAUCUGUUCAUCAGACCUUACAACAGUACAUGUCCACUGUAGAUUCUCGUUUUGAGGAAUUCCAAGCUCAAAUUCGUGGUUCUGUUGGCGUUUUGAGUGGCCAUUCACAACUAUCAGAGCCUAUGUCAGCGUUUACAGAGGGUUCUGCUGGGGGCACAGACUUUUCACCGCUUUUACGUUCCAUGAAAAUGGACAUUCCUAAGUUUGACGGCUCUGAUCCGACCGGGUGGGAAUUUCGCAUCAACGAGUUUUUUUACCUCCAUGGGACCCCAGAUAAUUUGCGUCUUCGCAUUACAUCGUUUCACAUGGAGCCGCGGCUUGGUAUCAAUGGAUGAAAGCUAACAAUCUAUUAACCACAUGGUGAAGUUUUUUGGUCAGUCUUAAGAGUCGCUUUAGAGCUUCCAUGUAUGAAGACCAUCAAGGGAACCUUUCAAAAUUAACGCAGACCUCCACAGUUGUUGAUUUUCAGUCGGCUUUUGAAGACCUAAUGAACAAAGUUACUGGUAUAUCUGAGCCUUUGUUAAUUAGUUUCUUUAUCACGAGUUUAAAGUCCGAUAUCCGUUGUGAGUUGUUGUUUACUCGACCGACUUCUCUCAUGGAAGCCUUUGCUCUUGCUAGAGCUUGUGAGGCUAGAUCUGAUGAAGUUAAAACAACCAGUCGUUCUUGGUCAAAAUGGCCUCUUACUACACCUCCAGCUUCACCAAAUGUCCCCCAUGUUUUGCCAAACACUUCCACUUUUAAAAAUACCAAUAUUGUAGCUGCCCAUGUUAUUACUAUAACAAAACCACCAUCUCAACCUCCAUUAUUACCAACCCCCAAUUUACCAAUCCAUCGCUUUACUCCAGCUGAGUUACGGGAUAAAAGAGAAAAAGGGUUAUGUUAUAAUUGUGAUAAAAAAAAUAUACUGCAAACCAUCGCUGCCGCAAUAAAUUCUUGUUGUUGAUGGGUACUGAUGAUGAAGAGUGUGACCCGGGGGAGGAGGGGAAUGUCAUUGAGCAAACUGAGGAAGUGGUUACCGCAGGCAUUUCAAGUUUGAAUGCCUUGGCUGGUCAGUCCAAUCCGCGGUCUUUGUGUGUCUUGGGUGAAAUUAAAGGACAUCAAUUCCAUGUUCUUAUAGACAGCGGCAAUACUCACAACUUCAUCAAACUGCAGCUAGCUGAACGGCUUGGUCUGUCGAUUCAAUCCACCUCAACUUUUCGAGUUUAUAUCGGCAACGGGGAUUUUCUAGUUUGUCAUUUUCACUGCCCGAAAGUGUCAAUUGUUAUUUAAGGCCAUGAGUUUCGCUUGGAUUUCUUUGUUUUACCAAUUGAAGGACCGGAGGUAGUUUUAGGCAUCCAGUGGCUUCAACGCCUUGGGCGUGUCUCCACAGAUUAUUCAGAGAUGACUAUGGAAUUUUUUUGGGAGGGUAAGCAAGUCCUUUUACGAGGUGACCCUAUUCAACUCCCUAAUUUGAUCUCUUUUAAUCAAUUUCAAGCAUUGUUACACAGCGAAGAAGUUGACACUUUAUUCGAGCUUCAUUCCCUCUCCAGUAACACAUCUGAGUUCCAUAUUCCCAACUCCACAUCCUCAACCUUUGAAACCGAAUUACCCACUUCCUUGCCAGAAUCUAUUUAUCUUCUCCUCCAUAAAUAUAAGGCAGUCUUUGCUCCGCCAACUGGCCUCCCUCCCCAGCGAAAUAUAGACCACAAAAUUUACCUCACUCCCAAUUGCAAACCUGUCAAUGUCAGGCCCUACCGUUAUCCUCAAUUUCAAAAAAAUGAGAUGGAGAAAUUAGUUCAUGAAAUGCUUGAGCAAGGAAUUAUCAAACCAAGUCAUAGCCCUUUCUCCUCACCAGUGUUGUUAGUAAGGAAGAAAGACGACACAUAUCGCUUCUGUGUUGACUACCGUGCUUUGAAUACCGUAACAGUGAAUGACAAAUUCUCAAUCCCUACCAUCGAUGAAUUAUUUGAUGAACUUGAUAGUGCAAGGGUAUUUAGCAAACUGGAUUUGAGAGCAGGAUAUCAUCAGAUCAGAGUCCAUAAACGUGACACUUACAAGACAGCGUUUCGCACGCACGAAGGGCACUAUGAAUUUCUUGUCAUGCCUUUCGGAUUGACCAACGCUCCAUCCACCUUCCAAACGACAAUGAACAAAUUAUUUGUUUUUUUUUUGCGCAAAUUUGUUAUAGUCUUUUUUUAUGAUAUUUUGGUAUAUAGUUCUUCUUUGGCUGAUCAUGUGUGUCACUUGGAGCAGGUUUUGCUGCGUUUACAAUUACAUCAAUUUUCUGUCAAACUCUCUAAAUGUUUGUUUUGUCAAGAGACCAUUGCUUACUUGGGACAUAUAGUCUCUACUCAUGGUGUUCAUGCCGACCCUCAAAAGAUUACCGUUAUGGUAGAUUGGCCCUUGCCCAAAAUAGUGAAGCAACUGAGGGGAUUUUUGGGGCUUACUGGGUAUUAUCGGCAGUUUAUACAAGGUUAUGCAACUAUUACAGCUCCACUUACAUAAUUGUUAUGCAAGGAUGCCUUCCGUUGGAAUACAGCAGCCACUGAAGCCUUUAAUAAAUUGAAAGAUGCCAUGGUAAAAGCUCCUGUAUUGCUUCUACCUAACUUUGAAUUGGAAUUUAUCAUUGAAACGGAUGCAUCAAAUGUGGGAAUUGGGGCCGUGUUAAUGCAAGCGGGUCACCCCAUAGCUUAUUUCAGUAAAAAAUUAGGACCUCGGUUGCGGGCAUCGUCGACAUACAUAAAAAAAACUACAUGCCAUUGUGUCUGCCGUGCUAAAAUGGCGACAGUAUCUCCUCGGCAGAUUUUUCAUCAUUCGUACAGAUCACAAAAACAUUAAAGAAUUAUUUCAACAAGUAAUCCAAACUCCUGAUUAGCAGGCUUACGUCCAAAAGUUAUCAGGAUUCCAUUUCAGAAUUGACUAUAAGGCUGGAAGCUCGAAUCAAGCUGCGGAUGCACUGUCAUGUAUACAUGAAGAUACACCUCCUAAAUCACAAAUGGUUUCAGCACUCUGUUUAACAAUGGUUAGUCAACCUUCUACUGAUUUAUUACAAAUCUUGCUAAAGGAAAAUGCAACAUUAGAUGACAUGUUACUUCUCUACAAGAAGUUGGUGACAGGAACACUUUCCCCUGAUUUUUCUGUUCACAAUGGGUUCUUAUUAUUCCGCCACCGCUACUAUCUCAGUCCACACUCAUCGUUGAAACCAAUAUUGCUCAAAGAAUUCCAUGAUACUCCAAUGGCGGGUCACGCAGGCAUCAAAAGAACUUUGAUUCGACUGUCUUCUAAUUUUGAUUAGCCCAAAAUGCAAGCUGAUGUGGAAAAGUAUAUUGCUGCUUGUCUCACCUGUCAACAAAUCAAAUAUUCCACCCAAGCCCCUACAAGAUUACUUCAGCCUCUUCCCAUCCCUUCACUUGUUUGUGAUGAAUUGACUAUGGAUUUUAUUACGGGGCUACCCAAUUCUAAAGGAUUUGAAGUUAUUUUGGUUGUGGUUGAUCGUUUGACGAAAUCAGCACAUUUCGGAGCAUUGCCAUCGUAGUUCACUGCCCACAAGACAAUCAUGUUAUUCACUGAAUUGGUAGUCAAAUUACAUGAUUUUCCUAGUUCAAUCAUUUCAGACCGAGAUCCAGUAUUCAUGAGCCAUUUUUGGCAAAAAUUAUUUGAAUUGAGUGGCACCACAUUACGCCACAGCACCGCUUAUCAUCCACAGACCGACGGCCAAUCCGAGGUGAUAAACCGUGGCCUAGAGCAAUAUGUCUGAGCCUUCACUUAAGACAAACCUCAUUCUUGGUCAACUAUUUUGUGAUGGGUCGAAUUUUGUUACAACACCAGUUAUCAUAGUAGCUUGCGAAUGACACCUUUCCAAGCUCUUUAUGGACGUUUACCUCCUACAAUUCCUGGCUAUUCCAAGGGCUCUACUUCAAUCCAAGCAUUAGAAGACCUGCUGGUCGAGAGAGAUGAAUUGAUGCGCUGUCUGAAAGCAAACUUAUGUCAAGCUCAGCACUGAAUGGCACAAAAAGCUAACAAGCAUCGCAGGGAAUUGCAACUGCAGGUGGGGGACAAAGUGUUGGUAUGCUUACAACCUUACAUACAAUCAUCUGUUGCCAACCGCGCUUUGCACAAGCUGGCAAAGAGCUACUAUGGGCCAUUUCGGGUAUUGGAGAGAAUUGGUUCUGUUGCUUAUAAAUUAGAAUUGUCCGUUGGCAGCAAAAUUCACCAUGUUUUCCAUAUAUCCUUACUGAAGCCUUAUGUUGGGGAUUCUCAUGUUGACAUUCAUUCCCUGGCCCCUGCAAGUGUGAACAACAAGCCCCUUUUUUCUCCUCUAGCUAUUUGUGCUGAACGCUCGGUGCUUAAACAAGGGCAGGAGCUUCGUUAAGUUUUGGUGCAAUGGUCUGAUUGUGUCCCCUGAAAAUUCUACUUAGGAGGAUUAUGAUGAUUUUGGCAAGACAUAUCCCGAGCUUCACCCCCCUGAGGACAAGGUAAAUUCUCAAGGGAUGAGGAAUGAUACAACUUUGCCCGAGAUUAAUGACAAAUCAGCACUUGAAACAGAUGAAGAAACCCAGUUGGUCGAGGAGCCCAUAAAAGGUCCAGCUCGUAUGCGCAGGGCACCAACAUACCUCAAGGAUUACAUUACCUAAGGAAUAUUCGAGAAGGAACAAAAAGAGUGAGAAAGAUGACAACUGUAAUUUUGGUUAUUUUGUUGUGACUAUUUGUUUUGCCAAUCAUUACAUAGUUGGUUAGUUACGCUUGUAUUGUUAUGGGGUAAAAGAUAUUUGUAGAGGGCAACACGUCAAAGGUGGAUAUAAGAAAAUGGCAAAUAUUUCUUCUUCUCUCUCUCCAUCUCUCUUGCUAUCUCUGUUUCUCCAUUAAUUUCAAUUCUUUUUGCUUCUUUUUGCAGGAGUCAGCACUUACUCGAAAAGUGUAAUCUAUGAUAUAAACUCUGAGUUGCAGAGUUGUGUCAGAAGUUUAAUUAGAGUUAAGUAUUCUAUAGCCAAUUUUGGAUUCUAUAUUGUGACGUGGUUGAUUAUUUUAAUAAGGAAGUUGAUUAGAAAAGAAAUUGUUAGACUUUUAGUUGAACUUCAUAAUGGGGAAAUUAACAAAAUGGGCAUGGUAGUUGACAUUCUGUAAUGGGAAUAAACGUAAUUCUAUUGAGCCAAAUGAUGAUGCUCGUUGAUGUCUACUCUGUUUAAUGGGAAUACAGUAGUGUGAGGUCAGCCUUUUUUAUCUUUAACCUUUUUGGUCUUUUCAUGAGCAGUUGGCCAUUCUUUAAUCAUGCAGAUAAUCAAAGUUGGUAGUUUUAAUGCAGGCCUCCAACUUAAACUUUCUCUCAAAUCAAUUUAUGUAUAAUAUUUUCUUUUUUAACUUUUAUUCGUCUGCUUCCUCUUCUUAUAUGUGUUUUGUGUAGGAGAUCAAUGGUGAGGAUUCAAAUUGGACAAAUUUGUACGAUUUGGAAGCACCACAGUCAAGGACUUCCAGUCCCCGAAAUUUUUCUGGUGGCUUUCCACAGUUUGAAGAUGAAAACGAGGAAAGAAAGGAAGAUGGGAAACAAAGUCUUGAGAAUCGAGAUGGAUCAAAUGUUCUUCCUUUUGAGUUUGUUGCUCUGGAAGCAUGUCUUGAAGCUGCUUGCAGUUGCUUGGAAAAUGAAGUAUUUACUCUUACUUUCUACUUUGAAUCUUUGUCUUUCCCUUUCUUUCCUCAUGUUGCUUUCUUUUCUCGUCUUCUAUCACGGUUUUCACGUGUUUUCUGCUUCUAAAUCAGGCCAAAACAUUAGAGCAAGAAGCUCAUCCAGCCUUAGAUAAGCUUCAAAGAUUAGUACUCUCAAUUUAGAACGUGUCCGCCAAAUUAAGAGUCGCUUGGUUGCUAUAACUGGACGUGUUCAGAAGGUUGAGUAAUUCAGAUUUUUGAAGUAUAAAUGCUAGUAUUGUUUCCUCGUGGAGAGUUUGAUUAACCAAAGUACUCAUGUUCAUCUGCAGGUGCGGGAUGAAUUAGAACACUUAUUAGAUGAUGAUGAAGAUAUGGCUGAGAUGUAUCUGACUGAGAAGUUGAUGCAACAACUUGAGAACUCUUCAACUUCCUCUAUAAAUGAGAGAGAUGAUAUGGAUGAUGAAGUUCUUCAAUCAAAUAUGAAUAACAGGCACCUAAAAUUUUGCUUUCUCUUCGUUAACUGUCUUUUCAUUUUUUUCCCUUCCAUGCAUCUAAAUUUAUUGUCCUGUUUCAGGACUACUGCUGAAAUCUCAUUAGAAGCAACUGGGGGAUCAACUAGCUAUGAAGCAGAUUUUCAUAACACAUAGAACAUCCACGACAAUCUUUUUACUCAAAAUUUACAUAGCCGGGCCAGCCAUGGGACACGCACUAGUACCACUCACAGUGCUAUAAGCAAGCACCUCGAUUUUGAAGAGCUAGAAAUGCUCCUGGAGGCGUACUUUGUGCAAAUUGAUGGUACACUGAACAAGCUAUCUAUGGUAAGGAACUCAAUUUUACCACUCAAUUUCGGCCUGCUCCCAUUGCUAGAGCAGUUAAUAUGGUAAUUGAUUAAUUCAACAGUGUAAUAAGGUAAAACAAUGAUUAAUGAUUUUGUCUUCUGACCAAAGCAGUUUCUUGCCAAAGUCAUCGGCUACCGCAGUUUCAUCUGAUAUUGCUAUUAUAUGAGGCUUCAUGGUGACAAAAUGCCGCAUCUUUUUCGAUGAUAUAUUCUAACCAAGGUCUAAAUUUCCCAAACCAAUUACUACCAAACCACCUUUUUUGGUUUAUAAAAUCUGAAAGUUUGAAGUUGUGAUUUUUAGGUUGAACAGGACCUCUAUGUAAGUAUGCCCUUCAGACUUGAUCUUAAAUAUUAGAAUUAUAACAAGAGAUUGGAAUUCGUAAACCAGUAGGAAGAUCUUAUAAAUUGAAUUCUACAUCUUGAUUUGAGCUGUAUUUUGCUUUCUUUAGAGAAAGUUGUGACAAUGGCUUUCUUGAGUAAUAUUUCUCCAUAACUGUGACAAUUAAACAUAAUUAAUUGUGAGAAUUUAAAGAGAAACCGAAGACAAUUUCCAUGUCAAAAUCUUAAAAAAAUUACAAAAUUACAAAAUAUUAACUUAAUAAACCAACUAUCCGACUAAAUCCUCAACCACUAAUUUACUAACCCAUCACGGCAUGCAUUACUAAUGGCUUUGUUAUUUUAUUAUUUAUAAUCAAUAAAGUUAAAAGCAUUGCCACUUUAUCAACCCACAAAGCAUCGCCACAAUAAUUGAAAGCUAAUAAUACUAUUCUAUUCAAAAAAGCAUAUACUAAUUCAAUUAAAAAAUCCAUAAACAAUUCAAGAAUUAGAAUAUUAAAUCAUAAAGUGGUAGAUGUGUUCAAUUAUCAAAAAUAAUAUAAUCAUUUCUUAAUAUUUAAUAUAAAAGCUGCAAAGGUGCGACAGUAGUACUAAAAAAAUACAAAGAUGCAGACCAUGUGGUGGUGCAAGGCUCCGAGUGCCAGCAGCAAGCUAUAGCGUCUAUGACAUAUAAACAAAGAGGUGUGAUGGCAUGGGAGUUGGACAGAGAUAGACAACAUGCUGAUCAUUGAUGGUAGCCGAUUGAGGUUUUCUUUGGCAAUGGUGGUGGUUACGGAUUUGAUUUUGACUCUUUUUUUGGAUUUUUAAUCGUUGUUUUAAAUACUAGUCUUUUAGUUAUUUUAAAAUUUUAUCAAGCGCUGUAUUGUAAAUCCACUAAAAAAUAAGAUGAAUUUAUUUAUUUUUUUAAAUCUAGCAGGGGCUUCAGCUAGCUCUCAGGUGGCGCCACCAUUGUUUAUGAGUACAGUAAUUAAUGUCAAGAAAAUUGUUGAGAGAGUACUAUUAUAAAAGUAAGGGUAGGAAUGUACCAUAUAUUACUACAUGGGUGUUUUCAAUUAUUUUUUAAAAUAUAAAAAUUAAAUGAGUAUUUACUUAUUUAUUUUGCAAAUGUUAUUGGUAAUUAAUUUGAGUUAAGAAUUUUGUUUUAAAAAAGAUUUUGGGUAAAAGUUUUAAGCAAAUGGUUAACAAGACGACACAUAUACAUUGUAAUUAAAUUGUAUUUUGAGGGAUUAAAGUAAUUGUAAUGAAUGAACUCUUCAAAAGAUGACAACAAUACUGCACAAACAAAUUGUUUUUUAAGGACAUCAACAUAAUUGGAACGUGUGUGAUCUGGAUUUUUUUUUUUAAAUUUAACUAAUUCAAAUUCAAAUAAUGAGCAAAUUGGUCAAUUCAUCAAAUAUUAGACGGAGCCAUUAUAUUUAACUGAUAAAUUGACAGAAAUAGGGGUUUAGUGCACAUGGUCGAAAGAUGUGAGCGCCCGCUGCGCAUUGUCGAAACAACAAGGGGCUGACGCUAAAUUACCCUUGAUUGUUAUCUCAUUGAUAAUACUAUUUUUGUUAUCUCUUGGACCUAAUUCAUUGCUUUCUGUCAUCCACUUCUUUUACUUAAAAUUCGGAAUAUCGUAGGAGCAGCUCAUUAAAAUUUCCUAAAAUAGUGAGCGGCGCCAGUGAUCAAACGUGGCACUGACGUUGGCGGCUUCAGUUUUAUUAUUUGCUCAAUUUGUGUAUUUGACAAAUCAAAGCACAAAUGGCAGCACCCUAUUUGUUGUUAUCGUCUGCUUUUCUUCUUUUGCUUCUCUCUAGUAACUUCUCUGCACUCCGUUCUCAUCAAGCCGUCACGACCCUGCCUGGCUUUGAUGGUCAUCUCCCGUUCAAACUCGAAACUGGGUCGGUUUUUUUUUUCUUUUCUUAUUUUAAUUUAAUUUUUAUUAUGUAUACAUAAUUAAGCAGAUUUCAAUUUAAAGCUAACCAGCUAGAGCUUGCUAUUAAUUUAGCUUUAACUAAUAAUUAAUUUAACGCUGUGUAAAAUUACUUUUAGGUAUAUUGGGGUAGGAGAUGAUGAUGAUGUGCAGCUGUUUUACUACUUUAUUGAAUCCGAGCGGAGUCCUGAAGAUGACCCACUUGUGCUCUGGCUCACCGGAGGCCCUGGCUGUUCUGGAUUUUCUGGCCUUGUCUUUGAAAUUGGUAAAUUCAUUUUCUUUAUGCUUCAUUGAUCACAAUUGUUUCCCUUCUGUAUACACACACACACACACACGCACACAUAUGCAAUUAGACUUUCGUUAUUUAUCUUGAAUUUCCUGAAAUCUUUCUGCUGCUAUUGAUGUUUAGUUAAAGACCAAAAAAAAAAAAAAAAAAUCAAAACCCAGUUUAAUUUCGAUUAAUAGUUUGAGAUUUGAAAAUAAACAAUUGAGUUUUUCUUUCAAAAUGUUAAAAAAAAAAAUCAUUCAAUUUGACUAAGAGUCCAUUGGUAUAAUUUUUUAAAUAGAAUUUGUUUAAUUAGAGAUUUUACUAGCAAAGUUUUUAUAAGUAGAGUUUUUAUUAAAAAAAAUUAAGUGUUUGGUUGUCAAUGAAAUUUUUUAUUAAAAAUUAUAAAAUUAGUUCAAUAGUUUAAGUUUUUGUUAUGAAAAGUAUGAAACAAUGUGGUAAAAUAAUAUUUUAUAUAUUUUUUAAUUUUUACUUUAAAAAGCGUAAAAUUUAAUUUUUUUUAAUAGAGACAAGAUAUUUUAUUUAAAUUUCCAAAAAUCUGCUCAAAAAAUAAUUAAACAACAAGGGAAAAAAAAUUAAAAAGAUCGUAUAGAAUAAAAUAAGUACUUAUAUUCAUUUGAUAAAUUAAAAUUAAACCAAAUAGACAUUAAGCUUAAGAUAUCUAUCUAGUUUGUCUUCUAAUAAAUGCCAAGAGCUGAGUGGUGGUGGGCUGUUGUAGUCCCCUACUGGAGACUCGGUACUUCCUUACUCAUUACACAUUGGGUGGAGAGGGAGACAUGUCACCCCGCCAAUAUGGUUAAAGUGAAUAUUAAUAUUAAUGAGAGUAUUAGGAUAGUUCGAGUGAAUAUCUAAGAGCAUCUCCAAAAGACUCUAUAAAUUUUACUCUUUAAAUAUUCAUUUGCUUACUUAUGUGACAAAUAGAUGAGUGAAAAAAUAUAUUUUUCUUUAAAAGACUCUUCAAAUAGAAAUGAGUUAAUAUUAUUUUAAUUAAAUAACUAUUUUUUAAAGGAAAAAUCAAUAGUAAUUAAAGCACAUUUCUCUUUUUCUUCAAUAAAAAGUAAUAAAAUAUAAAUUGAAGAGGGAGAAAGUAACUCUUCAAAUUUGAAAAGAGAGGAUCAUUUCUUAUUUGAAGAAUUUUAAUUGAAGUGUCUUUUGGAGCCUUAAAUGUUGAUGUAGCUCUUCAAAUAAGUAAUAAAAUCUUAUUUGAAGAGUCUUUUGGUGAUGCUCUAAUUGUGAAUAUUAGUAUUCUUAUGAUGGUAAUAUUACAUAUUUAUGUUUAAAAAAAAGAAAAAAAAAACAAUUCUUAUAUAACCUAAGAGUCAAUAAUGGAACUUAAACCCAUUUUGAUUAAAUAUUUAAUAUAAAUUAUCAACAGACACUAACAUAUUAACAAAUUAGGAUUUUGAUGUUAUAAAAUUGACGGGGCCAAAAAAUAAAUUUAACAUAAAACGAAGGCUAAAUUUCAUUGAGACUUUUUACAUUUUUGAAAUUUUUAUGGAAUUGGAGGCUUUAGUUCUACUCUAAUACAAUUUGUAUACUAAUUAGUGGUGGAACCAAGAACUUGAUUCAACAAGGUCUAUGAUAGAGAAAACGUAAAAACUAAAGUAGGCUAUAGCAUUAUAUCACUAACAUUGAAGAUUCUAACAGCAGAUGCUAUAUUGGAAAAAAAAAAUCACAGAAUGUAGUAGUUUGCAACUCUGUCAAGCUGAGGUAUCAGUGUAAAAUUUACAUAGACAUGGUGAAAUUUUAAUUUAGACUUCUAUUUUUUCCAGUGAUUUAAGGCCCUUUUUAGUAGGCCCGGGUCCUUGAGAGUCCAGGUGCCACUAUCAGAGGGCCGGUUUAGGCUGACCCACCAUGGACUCGGUCCGGGCUGUGCUUGAACCAAAUUAAUUAGAAGGGCCAUGGGCCAGGCCUGUGCUUUUUAGAAGGCUGGGCCUUAUUUUCUAGGGGGUCAUUUUUAGGGACCUCUCCUGAGAUUUGAAGUAUUAACACUUUAAUAGAAUGUGUUGAUAUAAUUACACAUACCUCCCUCGCCGUUAGUAUAAAAAUACGUAGGUGUUAGUAUAAAAGGAUAAAUGUGUAAAAGUUUAUUUAAAAUUCAAAAUUAAAGCUUUAAGUUCUUGAUAUCUGCGAAAGCUUGCUUGGUUUACUCUAUUAUCUAGUGGUGUGUAAUGACUAACGGACAAAAGCAAAAAAAAUUCUUCACAAAAUGAAGCCUCCACUUAGCUUUCUCUUUCAUCUAAGCAACACCCAGCACCAUUUUCGUCUUCCUAAGGCUGUGAAGAAGCAGCUGCAUUUGCUCGAAACCUUUUUAAGAUUAAAAAAUAUUUUAGGUUCAAUUACGAACAAGAUAAGUUCUGAUGGUGGCCCAAGUCUUCCACGAAGCAAGUACCAGCGGCGAAUGGCUUCAUCCGCGACUGGAAUUGGAGAGAGAAAGAGGUAAUCCUCAUAAUCACAUGCAGUAGAUGAUUUUGUUGAACCUGGGUUAAUUAAACUAGGGAUGGCAAAAAUCCCCACGGGGACGGGUACCCUCGGGGAUUUUCCCCAUUCGGGGAGGGUAUGGGGAUAAUUUCAUACCCAAUUUCUUAUUCGAGGAAGGGACGAGAAAAUUUUUUAUUCAGGGAGGGGACGGAGAUGAGGUGGAAUCCCCAUCCCCUAUCCAUUUCUCCAUUUUAAUUUUUAAUUUAAUUUUUAUUUUUUAAAAUUACUAGUAAAUAAAUAAUAAAAUUUGAAUUAUAAAAUUAUAAGUAUUGGUAAAAAUAAAAAAUAUCAAAAUAUUUAUAUUAUUAAACUUUUAGACUUAAUUAACUAAUUAAAGUCCUAAAUUUUUAUUUAGGACAUUAAAAAGACCGGACAGAUUCUAUUAGCCCAAAACUUUUGUUUUAAUUUUAAUAUUCAUUAAAUAUUUUAAACUUAAAUCUAUUUUUUAUUUAUCUUAAAUCUAUUUUUUAUUUAUUUUUAGAUGUUAUAAUUGCCCACAACAAAUCAUAAUUUUAAUAUCUAAUCUAAUCUAAUAUUUGCUCUUGAUUUGCUUCGACUUAACUAUUGUGCUGUAAAGAGAAUAGUCCACAUUUAUAAAGUGCCCACGCCACCAUUGAAAAGUUAAUUUUGAAUCUAAAUUUGAUUUUAUUUGUAACAAUUUUGUAUUAGGCUAUUAAUUUGUUCAUGAUAGUUUGUAUCCCUUGCAUGCUGCGUUACUUACUAAUUUAAUGUAUGUGACUUUAUAAUGGAUAUUAAUGUAAGAUAUAUUUCGAACUUCACUUUUAUUUAAAUUUUUUGUUUUAAUAUGAUUAACUCAAAAUCGAAAACAAAAAAAAUGUAUUAGUUAUUCGAGGAUCGGGGAUCCUCGGGAAUCCCCUGUUAUUAUUCGGGGAGGGAAUGAGAAUUCUCUUAAAUAAUUUUGACGGGGAUGGGGAGGGGACGGGGACAUACGUAAAAUAUCGGGGAUGAAUACGGGGAGAUUGGUCCCCUCCCCUCCCCUCCCCAUUGCCAUUCCUAAAUUAAACCUGAAAAUGGGUUCUUUGUAUUUUGAAUUUUUUUUUGUGCAUGCUGAUUUCAACAACCGUGGGUUUUGAUUUUUUUCAUUUUGAGCUAAUCAAAGUGUAAUGAUAGAAAGUUUUAGCCUUUAUGUAAAUUUUGAUUUAAAAAUUAAGGGUUUAUCACUGUUAUGAAGUUGUUCUGCACUGAGCAAAGAAAUGAAAAGAGAAAAAAAAAAUUCCUUCUCAGUAUUUUUUUUUCUUAACUUAUCAUUGCUUUGAAUUCUUUCGCGUCAUCAUCGUCAGCUUGUAGCUAUGAAGUAGUUUAUGAGGCUGCCGAUCUUUUUAUAAGCAAUUAAUUAUGCGCUUUUGAAUUCAUCUCAAAGGUUAUUAUCUUUGACUGGCUAGAUUGCUGUUAUAAAAUUACAGUUUCACGGUUUGUAAAGAUAAUGUGGUCCACUAAAUCUCUAUUUAGUUUAUGACAACAAACUUAUUGUUAAAUUUUUUAUAAUACUUGAUUAAUCAUGGGUGACAACUAAAGCUUGCUGUGCUCGAUAUGGAUGAAUGCUUGGAGAUUUUAAGAACAAUAGAAACGAUUUGUUGUUUCAAGUUUCAACCCAUUUGAUUGUUUUUUUAAUCUAAUUCUCAGAAAACUGUCGCUAAUUAAUGGCGAUUGAUUUAGCCAAUUAGCCAAACAAUAAUAAAUUUAUAGUUUGUUAUCUCGUACAAAUUUAUUCUAGAACGGUUUAUUAUUUUUAGUCGGACAUUGUGAGUACAUAUAUGUAAAAUUCGUUAAUGAUUACUGAAGAUAUUUGGGAAAGAUGGGGAUCCUUUGACUGGCUAAAAUUUAUUGGAACCUAAAUACUCAUUGAUUCAUUGAUUCAUUGAUUCCGUACAAUAUAUUUAGAAAAAGAUUUUAAAAAACGAUAUUAUCUUAAUUAGAUUACAGAAUUUGAUAAAACAUAUGAAAUAUUCAAUAUCCAAGUAGUUAUGAAAAAUUUUGUCUCCUAAUUUUUUAUGAAAGUAAAAUUGUUGAAAGAAAAUGCUAUUUCAAGUUGUUAAUUCAUCUAUUGUACUGAUGGUUCAUUAUUAAUUGUGUCACCAUCUAAAUAAAAAUAUAAGAUAAUUGAUUAAUUUGCAGCUGGAAACUGGAGAGACUCUUAUAUGGCAUCUCCUAGUUGUAGAGAUAUAGUGGUUUUAUUUUAAACUACUUUGGCAUGUUUUCGGCAACUAUUUGAUUUUCGGCAAUUUCGUGCUGCUUCCACAAUUUUGGUUUUUUUCGAUUUUUUUUUAUUCCUGUCAUUUUUAGUACCCAUCAGUUCUCAUCCAUUUUAUUUAAUAAUUUAUUAUUUUAGUGGGAAGGGUAUUUUAGUAGUUUUAAUAGUCAACUAACGGUCAACUUAACUUGUAAUUAAUGGCGAGGGAGGUAUGUGUAAUUAUAUCAAUACAUUCUAUUAAAAUGUUAAUACUUCAAACCUCAGGGGAGGUCCCUAAAAAUUACCCAUUUUCUAGGUCCUUGGUAUUUUCUAGGUCCUAACCACAGAGGACGAGCUAAAGUCCUCCAAGCCUGGAUUGAGUUGGGCUAGGCCGCUCUCAGUCAUUUUGCCAUCUCUGCAAAAAAAGCCCUAAACUUGCACAUAAUGGUAUGUCAUUAAUUAGAACUUACAUAUUACAUUACUCAUUAAUUAAGAGGCGCAUAGAUCAUGGCCACAUAUUCGCAUGUUUAGGAGGGAAAUCAAAGUUUGUAAUAAAAUUAAUAAUGGCUCCAAAUUGUUCUGUUCACCUAACAAUCAAAUAGUCUUUUCAAAAUUAUUAGCUUCAUUUGUUUUACACAGAUUAAUAAAAUACAAUACAAUAUUAUUUGUAUUAUUUGGUUUAAUUCCUGAAAUGAUCACUUUGAAAAGUUCCGUUCCCUGAAAUUUUACUAGUGAGACUAAGAUUGUGUUUCUUUUUAAUGCUGUAGUUUCCUUACGAUUGGAUUUAUAUUUAAGUGAUCAAAAUCUCAUUAUUAUUUAUUAUUAUAUAUGACUUUAUACCAAAUAUUCUUCAUGGUCCUUAGGUCCAUUGGUGUUUGACUACGAGAAUUCCAGGGCAAGUUUACCAAGGUUUUCGUUGAACCAAUACUCGUGGACAAAGGUGCCUUGCAUGUCCAUUCUCCCACUGAUUUGGUUUUAUAUAUACAUUUGUGUGUUUGAGUAAUGAAUUAAAUUAUAAUUAGAAUUCUAUCGAUUAUCUUACUAAGUUGUGAACAUUUUUCCAGGUUGCCAACAUUAUUUUUUUAGAUGCUCCAGUAGGCACCGGAUUCUCAUACGCCAAUAGUUGGCAAGGAUACAUCAUGAAUGAUACUCUUUCAGCAACACAAAUUUAUCACUUUUUAAGAAAGGUGAAGAUAAGAGAGAAAAAAAAAAGUUACACUCCAAAUUUCAUUAUUAGAGUAAAUUUUCAUUGGCCUUGCAUAUAGGUUUUUGCUGAAUUUCCAUAUCAGCGGCCUUGUAUUUGCUCAGAAUUAUAGAUCAUUAAUUUAACAUACUGAUUGUUAUUAUUAUUAUUAUUAUUUGUUCUAAUCAGUGGCUUAUAGUUCAUUCUGACUUCCUCGCAAAUCCUCUCUAUGUUGCUGGUGAUUCUUAUUCAGGCAAAAUUGUUCCAAUUGUUGUUCAGGAAAUAUCUGACGGUAACUUGUAUACGUGAAUACUUGUUUAUGCAUUGAUUUUGGUUCAUUUUAUGUUUAUCAGAUCUUAAUUUCUCAAGUAGUCUAGUUUUUGUUGCAGGUAUUGAUGCUGGACACAAGCCAAGAAUGAAUCUGAAAGUAGGUGACCUAUCAUCGGAAAUGAAGUAUACUUUGAUUUCAUUUUUUUGAUUUACAUUUAGUUAGUAACUGUUCUUAGAUGCAUUAUCAAUUGAAGUAUUUAACGUCAACUAUUUUGAUAAUGGACCCAGGGAUAUAUGCUUGGCAACCCAGUUACGGAUUACAAAAUAGACCAAAAUUCAAAAAUACAGUUUGCUUACCUGAACGCACUUAUCACCUAUGAAAUCUACGAGGUGAAUUUUCCACCUAUGCGUUGAUUCUAAAUAGGACUAGGAUCUAUUUCUCAUGAGCAGAGCUAUCACAAACAAAAUACAAGUGGGUACGAUGGGUGCUUAUUAUAUAUGAAUAAUGUGGAUUUAUAACUCUAUUAUUAGAUAGAUAGCGAUAGUGUAAUUAUCAUGUUAAAUUGUUAAUGGUAAAAUAAUAAAGCUAAUUUGUAUUUUACAUACAAAGCAUUAAUUGAUAAAUGGCUGCACGUUAGUUGGAAUGCAAAUUUUGUAUCUCACCUUGUAACCACAUAACAUUUUUAAUUUAAAAUAUAUGGACAUGAAUGAAUGUUCCAUUUUAUAAUUUUAUUUGCAUUGUUGCAAGGUUUGUUUUUCUCUUUUUUUUUUGGGCUUGUUUUCUGAAGACAAGUGUUAAGAAUAUCCACUUAAUAACUUCUGAUUGUAUAACAAUUUCUCAUACUAGCUACUUUCAUAAGUUAAUCUAGUAUAAAUGGCAAAUCGUUCUAUAUUUUUAUUCGAUUUUUUCUUUUUUCUGGCUAGUUUUACUUGCUUUACUAAAAUAUUAUUUUAAAUUGUGCGCUGCCUUUUUUUUCUAUAUUACUUUUUACCCAGUCAGCCAAGAAGAAUUGCAAGGGUGAUUACGUAAAUGUAGACCCAGGAAAUUAUUUAUGCAAAGCCGAUCUUCAAAAUAUCUCAGCGGUACGUAAAGGAGUAACUAUCAUUUUGUUUAUUUGUUUAUUAUUUCUUAAUACUAUAAGUAGCACGCCAAAUUAUCUCACUGAUGCUUGAAUUUAUAGUGCACUGGAAAUGUAAAUGGAGGGAACAUAUAUGAACCUAAAUGUAGUUUUGUAUCCCCAAAACCAACACGAUUGAGCCCCCGAGAUGGUAGCGUCGUGGAAGAUGAAGAAGAUUAUUUAGAUUUGCUCUUUUUGCCAGCUCAGCCAGCUCCAAAACUUUGGUGUCGGGUAAAUUUCUGCACAUGCCUACAAUAUACUUUCCCCUAAUGCUAACGUGAGGCAGUUACCUACCUUAAGUUUUUUGUUGAACUGUUUAAUUAAUACAAUAUUAGAGCAAAUGGCUCACGAUCAAUUCUUUCAGCCAACAGUUUGGAAGAUAGUCGAAAUUUAUUAGGGAUAAAUAAAAAUUAAUCCUAAAAGGAAUCAAUUAAAUUUAGAAUUCCUCUUUUAUAUUUAUAUGAGUGUAUUGAAUAUUGGUGCUGUAUUUUUUUUUUUUUUUUGAAUAGAUAUUGAUGCUGUAUUUAAGCUGUCAUAAUAUUUUUCAUUUUUGUCAUAUGUAUAUUUUAAUCAUAACAGUCUGUAUCCCAACAAUAUAUGUGUGUCUUAUGAUCUUAUUAAACUUUUAAUUGCUGUGAUACUCGUCAAUUAUAAGCUAAUAUGAUCUUGCUCUUUUAAAGCAUCAAAACUAUUUAUACGCUCCAACAUGGGCAAAUGACAAAACUGUCCAAAGGGCUCUUGGAAUUCAGGAGGUAUGGCAAAAGCUUAACCAUAACGUUAGUAGCAUACAAAUUUGAAAAUUAAUUUUACCAGAUACAUGUCUUUCCCAAUGACGAGCAGGGGAUGGUAAAAGAAUGGAGGAGAUGCAAUAAAAGUUUAUCUUACACACAAAAUGUCCCGAGUAGUAUUGAUUAUCAUCGCAACCUCAUCAAGAAAGGCUACCAAGUUUUGAUUUACAGGUAAAGUAAUAUAAUUAUAUAUAUAAUUUUUAUCAAAUUUGUCCCCAACUCUUGUAGGAAUGUGUCAAUGCCCAGGUUAUAUUGAAUUUUGAGUAUUUGACAGUCCCAAUGCAAGAAUAAGAAACUUAAUACUGAAGUUGUUUAUAUCAUUUCCAAAUGAAUUAGGGAAGUUAAACUCUAUUUUUUGAUCUAGUAAUAUUAUACUUACUCGGUUGGGAUAUUUAAUUUCUAUCUCGAUUGAUAGAUCACUAAUUAUUUAUUGUCAUGUAUUACCAAUCAUCGAUUUUAUUACUAACUAUGUUUACGUAUAUAUGUUUGCUUGAGUAUGGUUUUUAAAUCUUUGCAGCUUUCUUGAUGCAACUAAUAUUUUCUUCUCUUACAACAGUGGCGAUGUGGACAUGGAAAUUCCAUAUGUAGGCACAGAAACAUGGAUUAAGUCAUUAAAUUUGACGAUUGAUAGUGGCUGGCAGCCAUGGCUUGUGGACGGCCAAGUUGCAGGGUUGGUUUUAUUUUUUUUGUUUGAUUGAGUUAAUUUCUCUUUAUUCCUUAAUUAGGGUUAGACAUUAUUUUCCAAUUGGCCCUUAAUUUUUAUUAAAUGAUACGAAACAUUUUUUUAUUAAUAAAAAAAAAACCCUGCAAAGGAACAUUUGACAUUAACAAAAGUAACAACUUAGAUGUUUUGCAGAUUUUGGAUGCGGUAUGCUGAAAAGAACCUUUACCGUUUGACAUUUGCCACAGUAAAGGCAAGACUAAUUUUCUGGCAAAUUAUGUUUAGACUGACAUUAACUAAUUAAAUACUGUGAUUUAAUUAGCAAAGCAGCUACGUGAUUAAAUUAUUUUGUAAUUGCGGGUUGUGUAGGGAGCAGGUCAUACGGCUCCAGAGUACAAGCCUAAGGAAUGCCUCGAAAUGAUUAACAGGUGGUUUGCCAUGUAUCCUCUCUGAAUCCAUGUUCAGUACUUUGAGAAAGCAAAUGUAUUGGAUUAUCUUGUAUUGUAUUAAUAUUAUGUUACGAUAAUGUUGUAUGGUGUUUAGCACUAUAUUGUACCGUAUUAAUUUUAUAUAAUAUUAAAUUAAUGUUAUUUAAAUGUAUUAUUAGAUAAUUAAUUUUAUAUUAAUUAUUAAUAUAUAAAUAUUAUAUUAUUAAAUAAAUUAAUGAAGUGGGAUUAACUAUAAUUUUAUAUUAAUUUCAUGAUUAAUGUAUUAUUUUGUAAGUUUAGCUUAAUUAUACAGAUUGCUGAUUUCAACAAUUUAAAAACUUCAACAAUCAAAACCUGACACCAUAAAAUUAAUGAACUGGGAUUAACAACAAAAGAAAUCUUAUGAUUUGACAAAAUCACAAAGACGGUUUGCCGUUGUCGUGCAUGCGUUUAUAAACAAUGAAUUCUGAAAUAAAUAAGUACUAGAAUAAGCGAUUGAUUUAUUGAAAUGUAUUUAGCAAAAUUUGAUGGUCACAAUAGGAGGUAAUUAACUGGGUACUACUGUUGGGUAGUGGCAAUUUUUGACAUGAUUUAUCAAUGCAAGGAACAUAAAAAAGGUUACCAAAAUUUGGGUCCUAAAUGUUACGUUUCAUAUUUAUAACCAUAUUAUAUUUUAUAGUGCUUUUAAAAUUGUUUGAUUAUAUUUACAUAGAACCUAUUAGUGUAAGAAGAACAAAUUUAUGAACGAUAUCCUUUAUUGCAGUUUUAUUAAACUUUGGGAAUUCUAAUGGUAUUGCCACUUCCAUAGAUUAACAUGACUUUACUACAAUCAUUAGAGAGGCAUAUACGAUGAGAAACUACUGGCCGGCCUUCUCAUGCGUGUGACAUACAACUGCUGUAAAUCGAACUGUUUUCAGAUGUAGCAAGAGAAACAUCCAGACAAAAUUUCUGUGGCCAUUAUCUCAGUUGAGGCGAUUUUAAGUCUCAUCAAACAAUUAUGUCAUAUGUGUUUGUGUAAUUAUUUCAUAAAUGUAAUAAUGAUUUUCCCAUUUAAACAUCACCACAUCACAAGCUGCUUUUACUGAUAAGAGUUUUAGAUUUUCAACCGAUCGAUAUUGCUUCAUAUAUAUUUAGAACCAGUGAUGUUGAAUGUCGAGGGAAUAUCAAUCUUCCUUAUAAUUUCACUAAUUUUGUGCUUCUCAUAAUCUUCCAAGACCAAGAUGCAUGCUGAGUUUGCUAAUCACGAUAUCAAUCUCACCAAAACCCUGAUUUAGGGUCCCAAGAAAUAGCUCUUACCUUGUUCAAAUCUGAGAAACAAACUUGAGGCAAAGUGUAAAUUGCAGCACACUCCAUUCUUUAAGUUAAUAGAAACCUCUUCAACAACAUCUGAUCUGUUUCUGUGAAGCCCCACGCAAUGCAAAUUGCAAAGUAUAUAUAUGUUGAAUCAUACUUCACAGUAAAAUUUGCUUCAAGAUUAUUUUUAAGUAAGGGAUAUCGACAUGUCCCCAGUGAUCAGCUCACAGCCUCCUGCAUGUGAGGAUUAUAUACAUCGUUAGUGUAUCAAACGAACAUAAUUAUAGAUUUGCUACUAAAAUAUGGCAUCUGGCGGGUCGCUUGAGCCGGUAUUUCUUUUAGUGACUUGUUCUUCAAUGUUAUAUUGCAGCCAAUUGCUUGACACAGAUGCAUGUUAAUGCAGUGGGGAUGUUGAAUUAAUGCAGACCACUGCUUGCAAACACACUUGAACCUUAUAACCGACUGAGGAUCCCAGUAACGUUCUCGAUCGAUACGGGGGGUUUUUUAUUUGGAAUCGAAGUCGAAUAAUUAUUUGUUUUCUUCCUUUGUGGCUCAUGACGCCGAAAUCUGCAAAUGAUUCCCAUGGUUGGCACCACCUGAUUAUGACGAUAGUAUCAAAAACAAGUAUUUAAAUUUAUAAACCACUCGGCUCAGCCCGAGUGGCCAGGGCAGGAGGGCAGCAGUUCGAACCCCCACAAAAGUAUUGUGGGGGUAUUUCUUUCCUCAAUUAAUUGAGUGAAUGUAGUCUUCUCCCUUACCCAUGAGUGAGGAGUAGACAUCCCUCGAAUAUUUGUGAGGGUUAAAAAUCUGGGCAGAGCUCUAUUAGCAUUGAUGUAAGUUGGUCCCAGUAAUAGUCUAAUUUGUAAAUAUCAGUUAUAGUCUCAUGUAAUAUGAGUUGUAAUCUAAGCAAUAGUCUCAUGUAAUAAAAAAAAGUAUUUAAAUUUAUUAGUGUGCGGACUUCAUAAUGUCAACAUACAAACAUUUCUCUAAUAAACGUUAACUAGUUAUUAAAUGUAGAAGGACGCUAAACGACAUACUUUAAGACUUAGAAAAGUAAUCAAUUAUUAAGGUCCGGUUUGACAUUGAGGUACUAUAACUUUUAAGUUGUAAUUGUUGUGGAAAAAAAACUGUAAUUAUAAAAUAUAAAUUAAUAAUAUAUAAUAAAUAUAAAUUUUAUCAAAAUUAUUAAAAAUAUAAUAAAAUUUUAUUAUAUAAGUGAAAAAUCAUACUAACAUAACUUCUAAAUUAAAGCAACUAGUAUUUAUCAAACACUUUAAUACUAUAACUUUUAAGUUACAAUUAUCCAACCUCAAUCUCAAACACACCCUAAGUUGGAGGGAACAAUAUUCGAAUUUAAAACUCGAAUAUCUGCCGCCCACCAGCCUAUUUCAUUCAAGUAGAACCUAACUUAAUUUUUCUUAUGCAUUAUUACUUAUGCAUGCUCCAAUUAAUGUUGGGCGUAGGAAAGUAGCCAUGGUAAUAAAAACAUUUGAGGAAUUUGUAAUUUUAGUUAUUUAUUUAUUUAUUAUAUGUACAUAGUGAUGGUCGCACUAAUUAGUGGAUAUUGGCAAUUUGUCACAUGGUCUAACAAUGCAACAAACAUUACAUGGGUUAGCAAGUUUGGAUCCUAAAAUAUUACCUCUUGUGUCCGGUUUCAAUUUUUAUUUUUUAUUUUUCUAGAUGAAGUCCGAUUUCAGCUUAAAACUUAUGACAGUGAAUUUAUUUAUAGUACGAUUAACUUAUUAAUUAAAUUAUACCCGUAGACUUUAUUAUUUAAUUUGAUAUAACUAUAUUAUAUCUAUCGUAUUUUAAAAAUUGUUUAGUUAAAUUUAAUUCAAACUUAUUUGUGUGAGGAGAACAAAUUUAUAAAUGAUAUCUUUACUGUAGUUUCAUUAAACUUUAGGGGCUCUAAUGCUAUUGCCACAUCCAUAAAUUACCAUGACUUCUCUACGGCCAUUAGAGAGGCAGCGCGAUGAGGAAUCACCACCCUUCUCUAUCCAAACCCGAUGACGACCCGGACCCGAUUCGGCCACCCACGGCCAAUUUAACCCUCUCCGCCGGCGUCGGCCUCCGAAAGAAAGCAGCCGGGGUGCGCCCAUGGCUCCUUCUCGACUCAACCGGCCAGGCCCAGGUGGUGGAGGCCGGCAAGCACGCCAUCAUGCGGCGGACAGGUCUCCCGGCCCGAGACCUUCGGAUCCUGGAUCCGCUUCUCUCGUAUCCCUCAACCGUACUGGGUCGAGAACGGGCCAUAGUCAUCAACUUGGAGCACAUCAAAGCCAUUAUCACCGCCCAGGAAGUGUUGUUGAUGAAUUCAAGAGACCCUUCUGUUGUUCCC